UACAGAGGGUGCAAGCGUUGUUCGGAGUUACUGGGCGUAAAGGGUGUGUAGGCGGUUGUUUAAGUUUGGUGUGAAAUCUCCCGGCUCAACUGGGAGGGUGCGCCGAAUACUGAAUGACUAGAGUGCGGGAGAGGUGAGUGGAAUUCCUGGUGUAGCGGUGAAAUGCGUAGAUAUCAGGAGGAACACCGGUGGUGUAGACGGCUCACUGGACCGUAACUGACGCUGAGACACGAAAGCGUGGGUAGCAAACAGG
This 253-nucleotide ribosomal RNA is filed under the name uncultured bacterium. Its description in RNAcentral is "partial 16S ribosomal RNA". It matches the Rfam family "Bacterial small subunit ribosomal RNA", at positions 524 to 776 of the family's 1533-position model. The record is from RNAcentral.